GGAGGCUAGCUGCGGACGGACAGCUCGUGAACCCGGUCAGGUCCGGAAGGAAGCAGCCGUAGGGAGUUUUGUCUGGGUCGCGUGUCUGGCCUCCCAC
This 97-nucleotide signal recognition particle RNA is filed under the name Rhodospirillales bacterium. RNAcentral's name for it is "signal recognition particle sRNA small type". It matches the Rfam family "Bacterial small signal recognition particle RNA". From Rfam's summary of the family: The signal recognition particle (SRP) is a universally conserved ribonucleoprotein involved in the co-translational targeting of proteins to membranes. Archaeal SRP consists of a 7S RNA and homologues of the eukaryotic SRP19 and SRP54 proteins. In most bacteria, the SRP consists of a 4.5S RNA and the Ffh protein (a homologue of the eukaryotic SRP54 protein). Lineage: Bacteria; Pseudomonadati; Pseudomonadota; Alphaproteobacteria; Rhodospirillales. The record is from RNAcentral.